RNAcentral lists this long non-coding RNA (550 nucleotides) under Rattus norvegicus (Norway rat). RNAcentral's name for it is "long non-coding RNA NONRATT016101". The record is from RNAcentral. Lineage: Eukaryota; Metazoa; Chordata; Mammalia; Rodentia; Muridae.
GUACUCAGAGGCCUGUCUCUUAGCUGAUUGCCCAGUCAAGUUACAACCAAGACAGCCUACCCCAGCGAGCCGCUGUUAUGCUUUGAACACUUCACGCAUUCAGCUCCACCUUAUCUAUUUGCAUUGUGUAGUCCUCAUGGCAACCAUUUUUCCCAAAGAGCACCGAUUUCCUUUGACGGACAAUAGCAUUUUUUUUUUUUGGUUCUUUUUUUCGGAGCUGGGGACUGAACCCAGGGCCUUGCACUUCCUAGGCAAGCGCUCUACCACUGAGCUAAAUCCCCAACCCGACAAUAGCAUUUUUAAAAGUUAAGUGUAUGCAUGUAUCAGAUAUCACUGGUAUCCCAUUAAUGUAUACCGUUAUUCGAUUAUGUACUGAAAAAUAACUGUAGCCAGAGCACAGUGACACACCACACUAAUCCCAGCACUCCACAGGCAGAAGGAGGCAGCUCUCUCUGAGUAUAAGACCAGCCCAGUCUACGAUGCGAGUUCCAGGACACCGAGAGCUAUGUCUCAAAAAACAAAUAAAUAAAUGUAAAAAGAAGAAAAGAAA